UACAGAGAGUGCGAACGUUGUUCGGAAUUACUGGGCUUAGAGCGCACGUAGGCGGCGCCGCAAGUGCGGGGUGAAAUCCCACGGCUUACCCGUGGAACUGCCUUGCAGACUGCGGUGCUCGAGGAUGGUAGGGGAGAGCGGAACUCCUGGUGGAGCGGUGAAAUGCGUAGAUAUCAGGAGGAACACCGGUGGCGAAGGCGGCUCUCUGGUCCAUUUCUGACGCUGAGGUGCGAAAGCUAGGGGAGCAAACGGG
This 253-nucleotide ribosomal RNA is filed under the name uncultured bacterium. RNAcentral describes it as "partial 16S ribosomal RNA". It matches the Rfam family "Bacterial small subunit ribosomal RNA", at positions 524 to 776 of the family's 1533-position model. The record is from RNAcentral.